AGAGUUGAUCCUGGCUAGGACGAACGCUGGCGGCGUGCCUAACACAUGCAAGUCGAGCGAGGAGAUCCUUCGGGAUGAUCCUAGCGGCGGACGGGUGAGUAACACGUGGGCAACCUGCCUCAUAGAGAGGAAUAGCCUUCCGAAAGGGAGAUUAAUACCUCAUAACAUUGCAGUUUCGCAUGGAACAGCAAUUAAAGGAGUAAUCCGCUAUGAGAUGGGCCCGCGGCGCAUUAGCUAGUUGGUGAGGUAACGGCUCACCAAGGCGACGAUGCGUAGCCGACCUGAGAGGGUGAUCGGCCACAUUGGGACUGAGACACGGCCCAGACUCCUACGGGAGGCAGCAGUGGGGAAUAUUGCACAAUGGGGGAAACCCUGAUGCAAGCAACGCCGCGUGAGUGAUGACGGCCUUCGGGUUGUAAAGCUCUGUCUUCAGGGACGAUAAUGACGGUACCUGAGGAGGAAGCCACGGCUAACUACGUGCCAGCCGCAGC
This 491-nucleotide ribosomal RNA is filed under the name uncultured bacterium. Its description in RNAcentral is "bacterial SSU rRNA". It matches the Rfam family "Bacterial small subunit ribosomal RNA", at positions 9 to 518 of the family's 1533-position model. The record is from RNAcentral.